CCGCGCAACGGUCGGCGUUUAAACUUGUUCGCUCAGUUGCUCGAGCUGACGCUCGCUGCUGUAGUGUUUCGAAGUUAAGUUUAUUUCUUGUCCAGCGUCGUGCGUAUGUUUUCUUGCAAUCUGUCGGUCAACUGGACAGUUCCGGCAUCCUGUCCAUACGCAAUGAGCGAUAUCGUUAAGCGUAACAACGAGGGCUGCUGUAGCGGGGAGGCAACGUCCCUUAUUUGUUCUCUGUACUUCAGGUUUCAGGGAAUGAUGUUGCGAAUGAGUGACGAGCACAAUGGAGAUGUGGGACUGACCUAAAUGUGUUAACAAGAUUGUCGUUUGGUUACGUUCGAUGCUGUCUGUUCAGUGUACUGGCGACGAACAAUAUGGAGAUAUGGGACUGACGUAUGUGUGUGUUAAGAUUCAAUCGUUUGGAUACGUUGUUGGCUCGGGUACCUCUUGGAUUUACGUCUUUAUUAUCUUUGUAGGUGCUGGCAGAGUCAUGGAAUGAAGAUCACGAUUACUACGCUUGGCCUGUAAGCCAUUUGUUGGCACUUCAGCUGCGCUGGAGCUACGAUCACAUUUAGGUGCUUCCAGGCUCAUGGAUUGGAGGUGACGAAUACAACGCCUGUCCUGUGGGUCAUUUGUUGGCACUUCGGCUUAGCUGCAGCUACGAUCCAAUUUCAGUGUACCUCGGAAACGUUCCUUCCUGCUACCCACAGCCGUCUACCACCCCACACGUGUGUAAAGUACUGGUUGUAUUUGGAGCACUCAAGCACGGACCCAGAGACAGAGGCAAUACUUGCAGCUACCAGUGGUAUAAGUGCUGCGAUUUGUGUACAUGUACAUUACUAUCUGCUUUGGAAGAGUAUCAAGAUUUGCUGGUAUGUGACUGUGCAAUAAGGGGAAGUGCUCACAAUGUCUGCUGACUUGUCGACAUGUUUGGAAGUCAGUGUUUGCCCGGCAUAUUCAUAGAAAUAAAUCUUGUACCAACA
Ornithodoros turicata is the source of this 980-nucleotide long non-coding RNA. RefSeq lists it as uncharacterized. NCBI's taxonomy places the organism in Eukaryota, Metazoa, Arthropoda, Arachnida, Ixodida, Argasidae. The transcript has 4 exons. The record is from RefSeq and is a predicted model, not a curated record.